This 140-nucleotide microRNA precursor is filed under the name Dasypus novemcinctus (nine-banded armadillo). RNAcentral's name for it is "miRNA (ENSDNOG00000028043.1)". The stretch from base 45 to 96 matches the Rfam family "mir-1302 microRNA precursor family". The record is from RNAcentral. Lineage: Eukaryota; Metazoa; Chordata; Mammalia; Cingulata; Dasypodidae.
CAGAAUACCCAAUUAAAUUUGAGUUUCAGAUAAACAAUCAGUAAUUUUUAGUGUAAGUAUAUCUUAUGCAAUGUUUGGGACAUACUUAUACUAAAAAUUAUUUAUUUAUUUGAAAUUCAAAUUUAACUGGGCAUCCUUUA